CCAGGGGUGGCAGAGUGGCCAAUUGCACUAGACUGUAAAUCUAGCGGGUUUUCCCUGCGGAGGUUCGAUUCCUCCCCCCUGGA
Molecule: transfer RNA, 83 nt
Filed under: Candidatus Roizmanbacteria bacterium
Lineage: Bacteria; Candidatus Roizmaniibacteriota
Description: tRNA-Tyr
Rfam family: tRNA
About the family: Transfer RNA (tRNA) molecules are approximately 80 nucleotides in length. Their secondary structure includes four short double-helical elements and three loops (D, anti-codon, and T loops).
Source: RNAcentral